RNAcentral lists this ribosomal RNA (450 nucleotides) under uncultured bacterium. RNAcentral describes it as "partial 16S ribosomal RNA". It matches the Rfam family "Bacterial small subunit ribosomal RNA", at positions 354 to 796 of the family's 1533-position model. The record is from RNAcentral.
GUAGGGAAUCUUCCACAAUGGGCGCAAGCCUGAUGGAGCAACACCGCGUGAGUGAAGAAGGGUUUCGGCUCGUAAAGCUCUGUUGUUAAAGAAGAACACGUAUGAGAGUAACUGUUCAUACGUUGACGGUAUUUAACCAGAAAGUCACGGCUAACUACGUGCCAGCAGCCGCGGUAAUACGUAGGUGGCAAGCGUUAUCCGGAUUUAUUGGGCGUAAAGAGAGUGCAGGCGGUUUUCUAAGUCUGAUGUGAAAGCCUUCGGCUUAACCGGAGAAGUGCAUCGGAAACUGGAUAACUUGAGUGCAGAAGAGGGUAGUGGAACUCCAUGUGUAGCGGUGGAAUGCGUAGAUAUAUGGAAGAACACCAGUGGCGAAGGCGGCUACCUGGUCUGCAACUGACGCUGAGACUCGAAAGCAUGGGUAGCGAACAGGAUUAGAUACCCGAGUAGUCC